Cavia porcellus (domestic guinea pig) is the source of this 3519-nucleotide long non-coding RNA. RefSeq lists it as uncharacterized. The record is from RefSeq and is a predicted model, not a curated record. The transcript has 2 exons. NCBI's taxonomy places the organism in Eukaryota, Metazoa, Chordata, Mammalia, Rodentia, Caviidae.
AAGGUGGCUGCUGACUGCAGAUAUAAGGUGGCAGCCAAUUACAGGGCUUCCCACAGGUCCCCCUUUACUUUAAAAUAUAAGAGGCAUGUAAGAAGCUGCAUCCUUGAGGAGACUGUGCCUGUCGUGGGUCAGGGCACUUCCACAGCGGGGGCCAAUCUAGCCUUACCUGUCCCUGGAAGGCAGGGCAGCGAGAGGCCCAGUUCCUGUCUUAAGUGGAGGUUGGCAUCUUGUGUGAGGCCCAAUUGCCCGUCUCUGGCUGUCCAGUCUAUCGCACCAAGGCGGCUUGGGGAGACAUACCCAUUUUUGUGCAUUGCCUCCUCCCACUUAGGAGCUGUAUCAAAGGUAUGUCAUCUUAUCAUUGUAAUUUGUCAUUCUGGUGUAAGAGGUGGGCUUAGUUUUAACUAUAUCUCCCUUUCAAUCACAUGGGGAACCCAACAGAGUGGCACUCAGAGCCCUUGCAUUGCAAGGGGGUCCAAAGCCUCCCUUUUCUGGCAGCCGUAGAAUCAUCAUAAUCCCAAGGGACAGGACCCAAGCUGUUAGUUCCAUCAUCUGAAAAACAAGAGCUGGGAAAAAAUCUCUCAGGGAUCAUUUUUGUCCCUGGAGUCAUCUGUAACAUUAUCCUGUAUUUGUUGCAUUUGAUCUAUUUGUCUAACCAAAUGCUCUGGCAGCCAUAUCGCAGAUUUCAUCUCUGUAGAGUAAAUGCAUACUGAUCCUCGUCCCCAGAAAAGGACUGGGUCUGGACCAUGCCAUGAAUUAGUCAGGGGGUCUCUCCAUAGUACAGAAGCAAAUUGCUUUUGUGUUUCAGUAUGGCAAAAACAGGUCGCUGCUGAUUCUCUGGCAGCAUCCAAGUUUUAAAAAUUAAGGAUGAAUAAGGCAUGAAAUAGCAUAUUUCUAGGUGGCCCCCUUGUAUGAUACCACUCCCCUUUUUUAUUUUAUCAACAGAUGUGAUCUUUUAAUUAUGCCUUUUAUAUGCUUAAUAUUAAUAUGUUCUAUCUUUGGAGUCCUUUUUGCAGUUCUUUGCAAAAUGACCAGUUUCUCCACAGGUAAAACAUUUUUGUUUAUGCUUUUGAGAUAAGAAAUGCUUAACUAUAAAUUCUUGCAAGGCAGCAGCUAUAGCAAGGCCUUGCUGGUAAGCAGUUCCAAUGUCAGAGCAAAGGCAUAUAUCAGGUCCUUGCUUAAUGCUUGUGAGAGAGGAACUCAUAUCGUCCUUUGUAAGCAGUUUUCUCCAUGCUUGAGCAGCUGCUGUUUGAAUUUGAGUGACAAGUGCUGGGCUAAAUUGCUUUUGGGCCUCUCUGUCUGCAUAGACGCCCUCCCCUAUUAAUAUAUCAAGGUCCCACCCCCCACUGCCAGAUUGUGUACUGUGCCUGGCGGUCUCUUCAUAAUUUUCUAUAUAUUCUGAUUUCCACAAAAGAUAAUCCCCACCUGAUAAAGUUGCUCAGGCCAAUCCUUGCCAAUCUGUAUGUGUGAGCCAGCCUCAGCCAAAGAAUCCAAAACAGCAAGAGUAUACACGGCUGUGUCUCCCUACUAUACAACCACUGUUUUUAAUUCUCUUUAUCAGUUUGAAAUGGAAACCAGAGUAUUGGCGGAAAACUCCGCCCUCUGCGUCCAUCGUUUCAGUCACAGAGAAAGCCUCCAUACCAUCUAGCUUCAAUAUUGGGUUAGGCCGGGGGUAAAAUUAGAAAUCAUGCCCUUCAGGAGGGGUCACUGAGCAGGAGAAAUCCCAGAGGAAACUCGGGGGUUUGUUUUACAUUCUAUUUUAGAACUUUCGAUUUUUAGCCUUUCUAAUUAGGCUAUUAACUCCUGAUGUUCUUUUUCCAGUUCAAUCUGUUGUUCAAAACUUCAAUUUGACCUCUUAAUUUUUUCCUAGUAUCAAAAGUUAUACACGCUGAAGUGGGAGCAGUGUGGCCAUUAUGGUAUGGGGGAGGGUACAUGGUUAGGGUCACGCUAAGGGCUUUGUCUGCACCGGCCACCUGUUGUGGGGUGGGGCUGCAGUGUGCUAAGCCUGGAAGGAGUUCCGCAUUAGCAAUUACUGGGUCACUUUUGCUCCCAAGAUAAAAGUUUAUUAAGCCCUAAUGGACACAAUUACUAAAUUUUUUCCUUUACUCUUCAUGUCUUUAAAGCCUUUCAACAAAAAUCUCAUGCUGGCUCAUUUCUUGCCCUAAUAGACAUAAUUGCUUAAUGUUUUUUUCCUUUACCCUUUGUGUCUGUAACUUUCAAUAAAAAUCUCAUGCUGGCUAAUUUCUUGUCCCAUAAUUGCUGUUCACUUACCGAGGUUCAGCGGUGCGGCAGGCUCCCACGUCGCCAAGUCCUUUAUUUUCUUUUCCUUUUUUCUACUUUGGGUCCACGAACAGCAUCCCUCACGAAGUCCUCAGUUCUUGUGUCUGACAUUGGGUGCCACUUGUCCUGGCCCGUGGGUGAGUCAACGUAGACGCUAGAGACGCAGUGGGGAUGAGAAGGGACAAGAGACACGAAGAAUGGAGACAAGACAAAAUUCUGAUCAAGUCUUGUUUAUUCAAAGAAAGAUUAACAAAUAUAUAGGGUAUUGGGGAAGGAGGGAGUUGGGUUCUGAGACAUCAGCAGGUAACUUAGCAACAGAGGCAAGACCGAGGGUUAUAAGUUAAUUCAAAUUUCUCCCAUGUAGGCUGAUAAAGUGGGCUGAUUAACAUAAUCCCUGAAUAGGCCAAACAGGCUAGGCAAGGAGCUGCUUAACUACCAAACUUAACUCCUAGAGGGGGUUAAGGUGGCUGCUGCUUGCAGAUAUAAGGUGGCAGCCAAUUACAGGGCUUCCCACAGGAAUGAACGGUAUUCAUUUUCCUGUACCAGUAAUAGAAUAACCACAAAAAAAAAAACCCAUGAAGGAUACAGAAUAUUUAGAAUACUGUUAACUAAUCUGUUACAACAGACAUACAGUACUCCAUCCCACACAAGAGAAUACAUGUGAUUCCAAUACACACAAACUACUCUCCAAGAUACAUCACAUUGUGCAUGAACAAACCACCUCAUUAAAUGUAUCAAAGACUGAAAUUGUAUCUCAGUUUUCUGGCCACAACGCAAACUACAGAAAAAAUCCAGUUCAUUAUGUUGAAUGAAGAAGUUUUCAGCAUAUAACUUUGCCCAUUCAUUUACCCACUGUCUAUGGCUGCUUUCGUGCUGUAAAUGCAUAACUAAACAGCCAUGAAUGAACACAUCAAUACAAGAGAAAAUACUUAAAUUGUAGGAAAAUAACAGGAAUUCUCCAGUGGAAUUUUUAAAAUAUACACAUCAAAAUAAAUCACUGGUCAAUAAAGACUAUCACUAGAAAAUUAGAACAUUUUUAGAAUUAAAUAAAAAUGUAGCAUAAUAAAGUUUAUGAGACAACAGUAUUUACAAAGGAAUUAUGCAGCUCUAUACACCUGAAUUAAAAAUGACAAAAAGUUUUAAACUAGCCCUCCACUUUAAGAACUAAAAAUAGAAAUCUACAUAUUAUUCACAUAUAAUACAAUCAAACAGUUAUACAUGAAUGGAAAUCAAACCAAUGUU